GGCUAAGGCAGCGUCUUCCUGUGCUGGACACUGUUGUUGAUUUUUUUAAAUUUAUUUGUCACAAAUACACACCGUUUGUGUUUCUGGUCACACUGAAGCCUUUACAUUUGGGGAUCUCCUGCAGGUGGCAGUGCAGGAUAAAGAUGCUUGACUACGAGAUCAAAAGAGCUAAAGAUAUCCAGCGUUGUCAUCACAACAGUGACUCGUGGCAUCACGCUGGCAAGUGUCCCUCCUGAUGAGAAGUGGCAGCAGUUUAGAAAGUCACUGCAUGUUAGCAGCAGCUUCGGAUGAGAGUGACAGAAGGAGAUCUCACAAAAGCCUGUUUCUGUGGGAAACAACUUUCUACAGAAACGGUUGUUUGCUUUAGCACUUCUUUUUGUGUGUGUUUUUUAAAAUCACUCAUGGAUCUGUUGUAGCAUGAUGAAGCAGAAGGAUCUCAGCUGUUUGGAUGGAGAAAACUUUUGCUCCACACACUUAAGAUGAAUCGUGUGAAGACUUACACAUCAAUUGUAGGAUUUUUAUCAAUUUAUUUGAUGAUUACAAAACUUAGUGCAACCUUGUUGCUAAUUUUUGCAAGUAAAAAGGUUCAAAAUCUGUACCAAAUUGAGCUUUCUCUCAGGAGAAACAACUCCUGAGAGUAACUGACUUUUCUCAGAAGAAAAUGUAUUGAUAUAAAUAAGUAAACAUAUUCAUCUAAUUCAGAUUUAACAGGGUUGAAUGAGGUUGAGUGAGAUAUUAAAUUAUUACUGACUUUGUUUCCAAAAUAUGACCAACAGAAGAGAGGACAUACCUUUGCUCUUCUCAUUCUUUUGAAAAACUGAGUGAUGAUGUCAAAUCCAGCAGAUCAUGUGAUCCUCUCCUCUAUUAUUCUUCUACCAUUGUUAAAAUAUUACAGUAACUGGGUUGCAUGCCUAUUGCGGGACACGUUUUAUGGUUAAUAAAAAUUUGAAAUAUUUAGUUUGUUAGCGUUUGUCUUGUUUUAGGGUUGGCAUCAACCUGUUUUAGCUUUUAAUUGUAUAUAAUAGUGAUAUAAAAAUUCAUUUUGACUUUGUCAGGAAUCUUGAUUUAAACAAAAUUCUAUAAAAACAAAAAAAAGAACUAAAAUAAUCUGGUUGAAAUUGUAUCCUUUCUGGUGUUUAGAGUUUGUUUUGACUCGGUUACAUAAAAAAAAAUUUAUAAAGCAAGAAUAGAGCCAAAAUUAAAAAUCAUUAGUGGAUUUUUGAGCCAACAUAUUGAAAUACAUUUCCUCUCCCGAUCAUGUAAGCUUCAAAAGAUGCUCAUCUGUCUAGUUUAGUUC
Molecule: long non-coding RNA, 1297 nt
Organism: Oryzias melastigma (Indian medaka)
Lineage: Eukaryota; Metazoa; Chordata; Actinopteri; Beloniformes; Adrianichthyidae
Exons: 3
Source: RefSeq, a predicted model, not a curated record